AAAAACCCACAUCGAGACAUUGGUUUCAAAGACUCCAUCGCAUCGUCUCCUCUUGCUGAACAUGAAGUCCCCCUCGUGUCGUCUCCCUCCGCCACUUCGAGGUAUCUCCGGUCUCUCCGGUCUCCUCUCUUCUCCUCUCUUCACUCUUCUUAUUAUUAAUUUUUUCAAACUGAUCUCUCUCCCUAUUUUUUCUGGGUUAGAUUUUGGUUUUUCCUUUUCCUUUAAUAAGGUUAGAUGUUGCAUGCUGUGGUUUUUUGGGUUUGAUUUCUUUUUAUAUCUUUAAAAAAAAGUUGAAAAGAUCUAGUUUCCCAUCUAGAAUUUGCAUCAUUCCCAACCUCCCCCUCUUUUCUCUUUUUUUAAUGUUGUUUUUAGUUGGUAUUUUCUUGGAUAUGAAAGUUAUACUGUAUUUUUUUUUUCUUUUGUUUCAAAUUACCAUUUUGUUCUUACUCAACAAUCUUUCCACCCGUAAUUAUCUUUUUUAUAAAUAUUAUAUAAUAAAAAGGACAAAUUUUCUUUUGAUAGAAAAAGAAUGACCUUUUUUUCUGGUAAAAAAGAUUAAUUUUAUCUGAUAAAGAAAGAUACAAAAAUUUGGACUAGAAAAAAAUAUAUAUUGAAAAAAG
Molecule: long non-coding RNA, 620 nt
Filed under: Prunus persica (peach)
Lineage: Eukaryota; Viridiplantae; Streptophyta; Magnoliopsida; Rosales; Rosaceae
Description: long non-coding RNA (PPER_LNC002445)
Source: RNAcentral